CCCCCCACCAACCCCCCCCCCCCCAAGGAAGAAGACCUGGAGGAGACUGCAGGAUUCGUUCCCGCGCUGCCUUUUUUUAUGAAUGAAAAAUAAAACUCCAGGCCACGCCCCCUUCCUUCGAGCGUCAGCCAA
Lagopus leucura (white-tailed ptarmigan) is the source of this 132-nucleotide long non-coding RNA. RefSeq lists it as uncharacterized. Lineage: Eukaryota; Metazoa; Chordata; Aves; Galliformes; Phasianidae. The record is from RefSeq and is a predicted model, not a curated record. The transcript has 2 exons.